GACGAACGCUGGCGGCGUGCCUAAUACAUGCAAGUCGAGCGAACCAAUAAGAAGCUUGCUUUUUGUUGGUUAGCGGCGGACGGGUGAGUAACACGUGGGUAACCUGCCUGUAAGACCGGGAUAACUCCGGGAAACCGGUGCUAAUACCGGAUAGAUUAUCUUUCCGCCUGGAGAGAUAAGGAAAGAUGGCUAUUGCCAUCACUUACAGAUGGGCCCGCGGCGCAUUAGCUAGUUGGUGAGGUAACGGCGUCACCAAGGCGACGAAUGCGUAGCCGACCUGAGAGGGUGAUCGGCCACACUGGGACUGAGACACGG
Molecule: ribosomal RNA, 315 nt
Filed under: uncultured bacterium
Lineage: Bacteria
Description: bacterial SSU rRNA
Rfam family: Bacterial small subunit ribosomal RNA
Source: RNAcentral